RNAcentral lists this ribosomal RNA (460 nucleotides) under uncultured bacterium. Its description in RNAcentral is "partial 16S ribosomal RNA". It matches the Rfam family "Bacterial small subunit ribosomal RNA", at positions 338 to 795 of the family's 1533-position model. The record is from RNAcentral.
CCUACGGGCGGCAGCAGUGAGGAAUAUUGGUCAAUGGACGAGAGUCUGAACCAACCAAGUAGCGUGAAGGAUGACUGCCCUAUGGGUUGUAAACUUCUUUUAUAUGGGAAUAAAAUGUUCCACGUGUGGGAUUUUGUAUGUACCAUAUGAAUAAGGAUCGGCUAACUCCGUGCCAGCAGCCGCGGUAAUACGGAGGAUCCGAGCGUUAUCCGGAUUUAUUGGGUUUAAAGGGAGCGUAGGUGGAUUGUUAAGUCAGUUGUGAAAGUUUGCGGCUCAACCGUAAAAUUGCAGUUGAAACUGGCAGUCUUGAGUACAGUAGAGGUGGGCGGAAUUCGUGGUGUAGCGGUGAAAUGCUUAGAUAUCACGAAGAACUCCGAUUGCGAAGGCAGUUCACUGGACUGCAACUGACACUGAGGCUCGAAAGUGUGGGUAUCAAACAGGAUUAGAUACCCGUGUAGUC